UACGGAGGAUGCAAGCGUUAUCCGGAUUCAUUGGGUUUAAAGGGUGCGCAGGUGGGAAAAUAAGUCAGUGGUGAAAUACUGCCGCUUAACGGUAGAAUUGCCAUUGAUACUGUUUUUCUUGAGUAUGGUUGAGGUAGGUGGAAUGUGUUGUGUAGCGGUGAAAUGCAUAGAUAUGACACAGAACGCCGAUUGCGAAGGCAGCUUACUAAGCCAUUACUGACGCUGAGGCACGAAAGCGUGGGGAUCAAAC
This 250-nucleotide ribosomal RNA is filed under the name uncultured bacterium. RNAcentral describes it as "partial 16S ribosomal RNA". It matches the Rfam family "Bacterial small subunit ribosomal RNA", at positions 524 to 773 of the family's 1533-position model. The record is from RNAcentral.